AGAGUUUGAUCUUGGCUCAGAGUUAACGCUGGCGGCGUGCCUAACACAUGCAAGUUGAGCGGUUGUCAAUUGUGUAGCAAUACAUGAUUGAUGAUAGCAGCAAACGGGUGAGUAUCACGUAGGAAAUCUACCCUUGAGAGGGGAAUAACCCACCGAAAGGUGAGCUAAUACCCCAUAAUAUACUGUUUUGUUUGCAAAAUAGUAUCAAAGCAGCAAUGCACUUGAGGAUGAUCCUGCGUUCUAUCAGCUAGUUGGUGAGGUAAUGGCUCACCAAGGCUACGACGGAUAGCCGGCCUUAAAGGGUGGUCGGCCACAAUGGCACUGAGACACGGGCCAUACUCCUACGGGAGGCAGCAGUGAGGAAUUUUGGACAAUGGGGGCAACCCUGAUCCAGCGACGCCGCGUGAAGGAUGAAGGUUUUCGGAUUGUAAACUUCUUUUAGAGGGGAAGAAAUGCCCGCAAGGGAGUUGACUGUACCCUCAGAAAAAGCCACGGCUAACUACGUGCCAGCAGCCGCGGUAAUACGUAGGUGGCAAGCGUUACUCGGAAUUACUAGGCGUAAAGCGCGUGUAGAUGGUUUAAUAAGUCGGACGUGAAAGCUCUUGGCUCAACUGGGAGAGGUCGUUCGAUACUAUUAGGCUUGAGUGUGGGAGGGGAAUCUGGAAUUCCUGGUGUAGCGGUGAAAUGCGUAGAUAUCAGGAGGAAUACCGAUGGCGAAGGCAGGAUUCUGGCCCAUUACUGACAUUGAGACGCGACAGCUAGGGGAGCAAACAGGAUUAGAUACCCUGGUAGUCCUAGCCGUAAACGAUGUUCAUUAGGUGCGGGAGGUAUCGACCCCUUCCACGCCGAAGCUAACGCAUUAAAUGAACCGCCUGGGGAGUACGGCCGCAAGGUUGAAACUCAAAGGAAUUGACGGGGGCCCGCACAAGCGGUGGAGUAUGUGGUUUAAUUCGACGCAACGCGAAGAACCUUACCUGGGCUUGAACCGUUGGUUGUAAAACCUCGAAAGAGGGAUGACCCGCAAGGGAGCCAAUAGAGGUGCUGCAUGGUUGUCGUCAGCUCGUGUCGUGAGAUGUUGGGUUAAGUCCCGCAACGAGCGCAACCCUUAUCCUAUGUUGCUACCUAUUGUUUUUAAUAAUGGGGCACUCUUAGGAGACUGCCACGGAUAACGUGGAGGAAGGUGGGGACGACGUCAAAUCAUCAUGGCCCUUAUGUCCAGGGCUACACACGUACUACAAUGGCCGGUACAGAGGGAAGCAAGACGGUAACGUGGAGCAAAUCCCCAAAACCGGCCUCAGUUCGGAUUGUGGGCUGCAACUCGCCCACAUGAAGGAGGAAUCGCUAGUAAUCGCAGAUCAGCACGCUGCGGUGAAUACGUUCCCGGGCCUUGUACACACCGCCCGUCACACCACGAAAGUCCGUUGCAACAGAAGUCGACAUGCUAACCCGCAAGGGAGGCAGUCGCCCAAGUUGUGGCUGGUGAUUGGGGUGAAGUCGUAACAAGGUA
RNAcentral lists this ribosomal RNA (1507 nucleotides) under metagenome. RNAcentral's name for it is "bacterial SSU rRNA". It matches the Rfam family "Bacterial small subunit ribosomal RNA". The record is from RNAcentral.